CAACAACAACAAUGAUAACAAUUUACGUAUUUGAUUAAUUAGAUCACAGAGUUUCACAAAAAUUGCGUUCAACAAGUAAAAUUUUUCCAAACUUUUGAGGAAAUAGAUGAAUUUAUAUGCAACCGCAAAAACACGAUGGAAUAUGGAAAAUAUAUAAAAUGUUUUCGUGCAGCUAUGACUGCUCUCAAUCAAGACAGUCCUUCCACUUUUUCUAAAACACUUUUUAUUCUUUUCUUUUAGAAAUGUUUAACGCUAGUGGAGAACCUCGAACAUAAAGAUAACCAUCAAAUGUAUCCAAAAUUUUUAUUUAGGCCUAUAAAUUAAAUUAGAGAAGAUCUAGAUGACUUGUAAUUACAUUUAACAUUAUCAUCCAAUCAUUGUUUAAUCUUCGAAACAUUAAAUCGCGUCAUUAAUGUAACUAUUUAGUUAUUAUUGUCUGUUAAGUGCUAUUACCA
Long non-coding RNA from Centruroides sculpturatus (bark scorpion), 455 nucleotides. RefSeq lists it as uncharacterized. NCBI's taxonomy places the organism in Eukaryota, Metazoa, Arthropoda, Arachnida, Scorpiones, Buthidae. The transcript has 3 exons. The record is from RefSeq and is a predicted model, not a curated record.